RNAcentral lists this ribosomal RNA (1119 nucleotides) under Levilactobacillus brevis. RNAcentral's name for it is "bacterial SSU rRNA". It matches the Rfam family "Bacterial small subunit ribosomal RNA", at positions 55 to 1140 of the family's 1533-position model. The record is from RNAcentral. Lineage: Bacteria; Bacillati; Bacillota; Bacilli; Lactobacillales; Lactobacillaceae.
AUGCAGUCGAACGAGCUUCCGUGUGAAUGACGUGCUUGCACUGAUUUCAACAAUGAAGCGAGUGGCGAACUGGUGAGUAACACGUGGGAAAUCUGCCCAGAAGCAGGGGAUAACACUUGGAAACAGGUGCUAAUACCGUAUAACAACAAAAUCCGCAUGGAUUUUGUUUGAAAGGUGGCUUCGGCUAUCACUUCUGGAUGAUCCCGCGGCGUAUUAGUUAGUUGGUGAGGUAAAGGCCCACCAAGACGAUGAUACGUAGCCGACCUGAGAGGGUAAUCGGCCACAUUGGGACUGAGACACGGCCCAAACUCCUACGGGAGGCAGCAGUAGGGAAUCUUCCACAAUGGACGAAAGUCUGAUGGAGCAAUGCCGCGUGAGUGAAGAAGGGUUUCGGCUCGUAAAACUCUGUUGUUAAAGAAGAACACCUUUGAGAGUAACUGUUCAAGGGUUGACGGUAUUUAACCAGAAAGCCACGGCUAACUACGUGCCAGCAGCCGCGGUAAUACGUAGGUGGCAAGCGUUGUCCGGAUUUAUUGGGCGUAAAGCGAGCGCAGGCGGUUUUUUAAGUCUGAUGUGAAAGCCUUCGGCUUAACCGGAGAAGUGCAUCGGAAACUGGGAGACUUGAGUGCAGAAGAGGACAGUGGAACUCCAUGUGUAGCGGUGGAAUGCGUAGAUAUAUGGAAGAACACCAGUGGCGAAGGCGGCUGUCUAGUCUGUAACUGACGCUGAGGCUCGAAAGCAUGGGUAGCGAACAGGAUUAGAUACCCUGGUAGUCCAUGCCGUAAACGAUGAGUGCUAAGUGUUGGAGGGUUUCCGCCCUUCAGUGCUGCAGCUAACGCAUUAAGCACUCCGCCUGGGGAGUACGACCGCAAGGUUGAAACUCAAAGGAAUUGACGGGGGCCCGCACAAGCGGUGGAGCAUGUGGUUUAAUUCGAAGCUACGCGAAGAACCUUACCAGGUCUUGACAUCUUCUGCCAAUCUUAGAGAUAAGACGUUCCCUUCGGGGACAGAAUGACAGGUGGUGCAUGGUUGUCGUCAGCUCGUGUCGUGAGAUGUUGGGUUAAGUCCCGCAACGAGGGCAACCCUUAUUAUCAGUUGCCAGCAUUCAGUUGGGCACCU